Molecule: ribosomal RNA, 468 nt
Filed under: uncultured bacterium
Lineage: Bacteria
Description: partial 16S ribosomal RNA
Rfam family: Bacterial small subunit ribosomal RNA
Source: RNAcentral
GAUGAACGCUGGCGGCGUGCUUAACACAUGCAAGUCGAACGGAAAGGCCCGGCUUUUGUUGGUUUCUCGAUUGGCGAACGGGGGAGUAACACGUGAGUAACCUGCCCUUGACUUUGGGAUAUCUUCAGGAAACUGGGGCUAAUACCGGAUAUGAUCUCCUGCUGCAUGUGGGUGGUUGGAAAGUUUCGGCUGUGGUGGCUGGUCUCGCUGCUUAUCAGCUAGUUUGUGUGGUAGUGGCGUUCCAAGGGUUUGACGGGUAGCCUGCCUGAGAGGGUGACCGGCCACAUGGGGACUGAGAUAGGGACCAGAAUCGUACCGGCCGCAGCAGUGGAGAGUAUUGCACAAUGGGCGGACGCCUGUGGCAGAAACGCCGCGUGCGGGAUGCUGGGCUACGGGUUGUAAACAGAUUUCGACUGUGACGAACAGUGAGUGACGGUAAUGGGUCAAGAAGCAACGGCUAACUACGUG